GUGCCAGCAGCCGCGGUAAUACGUAGGUGGCAAGCGUUAUCCGGAAUUAUUGGGCGUAAAGCGCGCGUAGGCGGUUUUUUAAGUCUGAUGUGAAAGCCCACGGCUCAACCGUGGAGGGUCAUUGGAAACUGGAAAACUUGAGUGCAGAAGAGGAAAGUGGAAUUCCAUGUGUAGCGGUGAAAUGCGCAGAGAUAUGGAGGAACACCAGUGGCGAAGGCGACUUUCUCGGUCUGUAACUGACGCUGAUGUGCGAAAGCGUGGGGAUCAAACAGGAUUAGAU
Molecule: ribosomal RNA, 280 nt
Filed under: uncultured Staphylococcus sp.
Lineage: Bacteria; Bacillati; Bacillota; Bacilli; Caryophanales; Staphylococcaceae
Description: partial 16S ribosomal RNA
Rfam family: Bacterial small subunit ribosomal RNA
Source: RNAcentral